RNAcentral lists this ribosomal RNA (426 nucleotides) under uncultured bacterium. RNAcentral's name for it is "bacterial SSU rRNA". It matches the Rfam family "Bacterial small subunit ribosomal RNA", at positions 355 to 774 of the family's 1533-position model. The record is from RNAcentral.
UGGGGAAUUUUGCGCAAUGGACGAAAGUCUGACGCAGCAACGCCGCGUGGGUGAUGAAGGUCUUCGGAUUGUAAAACCCUGUCGCCAGGGACGAAGGGUGAGGUGUGAAUAGCGCCUUACCUUGACGGUACCUGGAAAGGAAGCCCCGGCUAACUCUGUGCCAGCAGCCGCGGUAAUACAGAGGGGGCAAGCGUUAUUCGGAAUUAUUGGGCGUAAAGGGCGCGUAGGCGGUUUUUAAGUCGGAUGUGUAAUCCCUGGGCUCAACCCAGGAACUGCAUCCGAGACUGGAAGGCUAGAGUGCUGGAGAGGGUGGUGGAAUUCCCCGUGUAGCGGUGAAAUGCGUAGAGAUGAGGAGGAACACCAGUGGCGAAGGCGGCCACCUGGACAGUAACUGACGCUGAGGCGCGAAAGCGUGGGUAGCAAACA